AUGUUACAAGUUUACAACAUUUGUUUUAUUUUACAGUAUAUGAUGACUCUUCUCAUGAUUUUCACUGCAGUUUCAAGUUCAUUUGCAGAUAAAAUUGGACCAGACGGAGACGCAAAUAUAAUCAGAAAUGAAGAAGAUUCUGUGACACUGAGCUGCACAUAUGAAACAGACAGCACUUAUGUUUGGCUUUACUGGUACAGACAGUCUCCUAACACAGAACCUCAGUAUUUACUGUAUAAAGGUGCUCGAAGAGGAAGCUCAGAACAGCACAUGCCAGAUGAUCGGUUUCAGUCAAAGACAUCAGACACAUCCACUGAACUCAUUAUUAAGAGUGUGUCUCUGUCAGAUUCAGCUCUAUAUUACUGUGCUCUGAGAGAUGUAGCCCAGUGA
Molecule: non-coding RNA, 390 nt
Organism: Triplophysa dalaica
Lineage: Eukaryota; Metazoa; Chordata; Actinopteri; Cypriniformes; Nemacheilidae
Source: the annotation of a RefSeq genome assembly